AACGAACGUUAGCGGUGUGGAUUAGGCAUGCAAGUCGUGCGCGAAAGCCUUCGGGCGAGUAAAGCGGCGAAAGGGUGAGUAAUACAUAGCCAACCUACCCCCGAGACCGGAAUAACCAGCGGAAACGCUGGCUAAUGCCGGAUGGUCUCCUGGAGGGCAUCUCUCAGGUAGUAAACGGCGGCUUCGGCUGUUGCUUGGGGAGGGGGUUAUGGACUAUCAGCUUGUUGGUGGGGUAAUGGUCUACCAAGGCGAUGACGGUUAGCCGGUCUGAGAGGACGAUCGGCCACACUGGGACUGAGACACUGCCCAGACUCCUACGGGAGGCUGCAGUCGAGAAUCUUCCGCAAUGGGCGAAAGCCUGACGGAGCGACACCGCGUACAGGAUGAAGGCCCUCGGGUUGUAAACCGCUGUCAGAGGGGAGGAAAUUUUGACCGAUCCUCAGAGGAAGCACAGGCUAAGUUCGUG
Molecule: ribosomal RNA, 466 nt
Filed under: uncultured bacterium
Lineage: Bacteria
Description: bacterial SSU rRNA
Rfam family: Bacterial small subunit ribosomal RNA
Source: RNAcentral